UGGUAAGAAAGAGUGAUUCCAAAACCGGUCACAACGGCCAGCCAAAAGGCCACCAAAAACGCAGUCCAAGUGAAGUAAAACGGUGCAAACAAAGCCAGGCAAUGCACACUCAAGAACAUACCAGCUGUCACAAGGUCUAGAAGAUUCCAUUUCCUCCCCAAGAAAUUUGCACAAGGGGUCAUGAGAAUGGUGACCCAAACUUUCAAAAGCCCCAUAAUGAGAGAGAGAGAGAGAGAGAGAGAGAGAGAGAGAAUGGGACUCUUUUUUGAGCCAAUGGUUUUGAGGAUUGUAUGAGAGACAAAGGAUUGCUGCUUGGGAAAGUUGGCCAUGACUUUGGCCAUUACUUAUAGUGAAGCAAUUUAAUUCAGAGCUGCCCCGUCAGGUUAUGGUAGGUGAUGGCAUUAGACUUACUUAUUGUAAUUUCCCCAAACCCCAAACAAAUUCAAUUAGCGUGUUCUUUGUGUUUCUAUUUUUAAAUGAAAAUUCAGAGUUAGAAAGUAACCUACUACUAUAAUUUAAUUGUCACGUCUCAACCCAAACCAUAUGCAUCAUGCUUGCUUCACAGAGAGAGUAUCAUCAAGGGCUAGAGGCCAAACGUACUAUGCAAACCCAGCUGAAGCUCUUAUGACCCAUCAAACCGCUUGAGCCAGUUUCAUUAGAAUGUCAGACAGAGUAAGAGCUAGUAGUUAUAAAGCCUGCUUUUGACAACCACCUAAACAGUAACUUCAAUACUUGUCCUUCUCAAAUUAAUUAAUACUUAACUUCCAUGUCGAUUCAAAAGACACAAACUUCAAAUAAUAUGAAACUAAUCUGUCUCUGAAUCCAAGGAAUACUUCUUGGUUUUCAUAUUGGCCGUUAGAUUUUAUAGUGGAGAAAUCACCACCAUGUAUUUGUUGAAAAUGUGUACCUGGCUAUUAUUUCUUCUAUGCUAAUCUAAAAAUAUUUUAGAAUAUGCUAUUGAACCUAAUCUUCUUACAACUCCAAGUUUAAAUUAGAGAGUAUUAGAAUAAAUAUUAAAAAUAGACAAUAGCUAAUUGGUUGAAUGAUUUGUUGUGAUUACAAACGUCAACAGUACAAAGUAUACAUAUGUCCUACAAUCAACCAGGCUUUAUAUCUAAGGCUUAGAAGCCGUGAUCCACCUUCGGUGGGAUUUGAUCUACACAAACUUAAUUAGGAAAGUAAAUAUAUUACAAUAAAUAAAUUGGGUAAAUUUUACUUUACUACCUGGAAGUUUACCGAAAUUAAGAGUUUACCACCUAAAGUUUUUUUCGUGUCAACUUCGUACCUAAAAUUUGAUAUUCAUGUAACUUUCAUACCUCCAUUAUAAUGUCCGUCAAGUCAUCUGUUAAACGACGACGUGGCAAUUAGUGGGCCUAUAAAGAUCCACUCAUAUUGCGGAUGUGGAUGGACAAAUAUAAAAUAUAAGAAAAAUAUUUUUCCUGUUUUGAUAAGAAGAGAUAAAAAUUAUUAAAUAAAUUUAUAAAAUAAAAAAGCUAAAAUAAAAUUAUUCAAUUUAUAUUUUAAAUGAUUUUAAAAGAGUUAUAAAGUUGAUGGAGUUUAAUUGAAUUUAAUUGAGUUUGACUGAAUUCUACAAACUCCACAUAGAUUUUGACUGAAUUCGUGUAUAGAUUUUAAUUGAGUUUGUUAGAAUUUAAUUAUUGAUUUUAAUGGAGUUUAUAGCGAUGGAGGUGGUGGUGAUGGCGAGGGCGAUCACGGUGGCGAUGGUGGUUUGUAGGGGAGGUGGGGGNNNNNNNNNNNNNNNNNNNNNNNNNNNNNNNNNNNNNNNNNNNNNNNNNNNNNNNNNNNNNNNNNNNNNNNNNNNNNNNNNNNNNNNNNNNNNNNNNNNNGUAUCGAUCAGCUUUCAAAUAAGUUCGAAUGUAAUCAUAGUAUCAGAAAAAACAAGAUGAACAUACUAUGUUUUUUUUUCUCUCAUCAACAGGUGCGUCAGUUUCGUUUUUGACAUAUGAAUGACAUUUGGUUGUCAAAUUUUGUUUAAAACUUUUAGCCUUUCAAAAUUGCACCUCCGCCAAAAAAUUCCUGAGUCCGCCCAACCCAAAGUCAUGAAACAAAACCCCUCAAGUUUGUUAUAAAUGCCGGGUUAAAAGUAAAGCAUUAAUUGCUAAUACAAGCAUAGAAUCAAUUCAUUCUCAACAAUAAUAAGGUCCACAACAUGCAUGAACAAUAUCAUUAUCACCCUUUUCGUCCAAAAAAAAAUAUCAUUAUCACCAUAAAACAGCAAAUAGAGUUUGAAGCUAGACAUCCCAGGCCUAGCCAAAUGUCGAAACCCUAAUCUUGAGCAGCCAUGGAUUUACUCUGUCUUUAAAGCCAUCCGUUUCCUGUGAGCCUCGGAUGGUACUUUCACAUCUGUUGCCAGUCCUAGAGCUUCAAGAAAUUUUAUGAUGUACCAAGUCAAGUCAAUUUGCCACCAUUCCAGGCCUUGUCGAGCUGAGUAUUCGAAGGCAUGGUGAUUAUUGUGCCAGCCUUCUCCAAGUGCAACCAAUCCCAACCACCUUGAAAUAUGAAUAUGAAUAUAUAAAAAUCAAUUUUAAAAUUGCAACUUUCAUUUCUCAAUUAUAUAUGAAAUAUAUAGUAGAAGGGAGAGUACUAAUUAAUAUAAGUACCAAAGGUUCUUAGACAGAUCCCCGGUGUUCCAUGCCUGAUAUCCCCAGGUGUGGCCAGCAGAAUUUACAAGCAAAGUACUGUGGAAAACAACUACCAUUCUCACGCCCUGCAAAUGAUAAUGAGUUUAAACUCAAGGAUAUGUGCUAGAAGUAAUUAGAAAAAAAAUUAAAAAAAUUAAAAGAAACAAUAAAAAAGCAUAUGUACAUUUAUAUUUGUGCUUAUAAUUCUAGUAAUAAGAAUGGGAGAGUUUCAGACACAACUUCUCUGGUUUGAAAUGUUUAAGAUCUUGUGCGAAUACAUGAUCAAUUUAUUAGAAAUGAAAAAGAGGAAAAUGUAUAAAUCUCACCAUUCCCCAAACCAAGAAGGGAAGUCCACCCACGGCAUACAAUAUGCCUGCAAGAAUAAAUGAGUGUAGCAUGAAAGUAUGAUGAAGAAACACAUAAAAUGGCUGCUUUUUCAUGUCUUCAACAUUCUUUAGUCCUCCAUACUGCAAAUUUCUCAUUAAAAAAAAACAAAAUUAAGUGUAAGCAUUUGUACCAAAAGAAAAAAGUGUAACUAUUACUGGAGAGAGAGAGAGAGAGAGAGAGAGAGAGAGAGAGAGGUUGUUUUUAAUUACUCUUCCAAACCGAGAACUGCUAUCAAGGAUCCAGCCCAUAUGACUAUACCAGAAACCCUUAAGUGGGCUGUGAGCAUCUUUUUCUGUAUCAGUAAACUGGUGGUGGUAUCGGUGUGUGCUCACCCAUUCAAUUGGACUUCCCUGCAAACCCAAAACAACAAACAGAAAAUCGUAAAAGUAGACCAAAAAAAGAAAGAACAUAAACAACAAAACUUGCAAAAUGUUUCUCAAAAAUGAGAUUUGACAUACCUCAAGUGCGAGAACCCCACAGUAGGCAAACAAGUACUCAAGCAAUUUUGGAACCCUAAAACUUCUAUGAGCAAGAUUUCUAUGGUAAGAAAGAGUGAUUCCAAAACCGGUCACAACGGCCAGCCAAAAGAGCACCCAAAAGGCAGUUCAAAUGCAGGAAAACGGUGCAAAGUGAGGCAGGCAAUGCACACUCAAAACAUACCAGCUGUCACAAUUUCCAGUAGAUUACAUUUCCUCCCCAAGAAAUUUGCACAAGGGGUCAUGAGAAUGGUGACCCAAACUUUCAAAAGCCCCAUAAUGAGAGAGAGAGAGAGAGAGAGAGAGAGAGAGAGAGAGAGAGAGAGAGAGAGAGUGUGUGUGACUCUUU
This 3854-nucleotide long non-coding RNA is filed under the name Prunus persica (peach). RNAcentral's name for it is "long non-coding RNA (PPER_LNC004532)". The record is from RNAcentral. Lineage: Eukaryota; Viridiplantae; Streptophyta; Magnoliopsida; Rosales; Rosaceae.